GAUGAACGCUGGCGGCGUGCCUAAUACAUGCAAGUCGAGCGAACGGACGAGAAGCUUGCUUCUCUGAUGUUAGCGGCGGACGGGUGAGUAACACGUGGAUAACCUACCUAUAAGACUGGGAUAACUUCGGGAAACCGGAGCUAAUACCGGAUGAUAUUUUGAACCGCAUGGUUCAAAAGUGAAAGACGGUCUUGCUGUCACUUAUAGAUGUAUCCGCGCUGCAUUAGCUAGUUGGUAAGGUAACGGCUUACCAUGGCAACGAUGCAUAGCCGAACUGAGAGGGGGGUCGGCCACACUGGAACUGAGACACGGUCCAGAGUCCUACGGGAGGCAGCAGUAGGGAAUCUUCCGCAAUGGGCGAAAUCCUGACGGAGCAACGCCGCGUGAGUGAUGAAGGUCUUCGUAUCGUAAAACUCUGUUAUUAGGGAAGAACAUAUGUGUAAGUAACUGUGCACAUCUUGACGGUACCUAGUCAGAAAGCCACGGCUAACUACGUG
RNAcentral lists this ribosomal RNA (497 nucleotides) under uncultured bacterium. RNAcentral's name for it is "partial 16S ribosomal RNA". It matches the Rfam family "Bacterial small subunit ribosomal RNA", at positions 28 to 507 of the family's 1533-position model. The record is from RNAcentral.